Molecule: long non-coding RNA, 506 nt
Organism: Bos taurus (domestic cattle)
Lineage: Eukaryota; Metazoa; Chordata; Mammalia; Artiodactyla; Bovidae
Source: Ensembl
GAAGCACCUGUCAGAUGCCUGGUGCACAAGAGAUGCUCACAAAUGAGACGGAUGCCUUCUCCUUCCACUCUGACCCUGAGCCCUGGAUGCAGGUACUGCCCAGCUGUCCCGAGCCGGCUCCUCUGAGUGAGUCAGCCCUGGAAACAGGUUCUACAGAGCCAGGCAAGGAGUAACCUUGGGUCACUAAUUACCUGCCUAGUCCUCUGUUUGCAAAGGACUUGUAUUACUCUUCAUCACAUCCCAUCUGUGUCAAUACUGAGAGGGAGGAGAGGGGGAGGGUUGCUGUAUCCGGGCCACACCAUGCACCUGCAGCACAGGACCAGGGCAGAUACCCUCUGCCUCCAAUCCGCCUCCAAGAAACUAUGUGAUCAAGGGUCCCUCCUGGGAACUGGAGCACAGAGAGGUGGAGUGGCACCUGGAAAGUGUAACCCAAGCAGGGCAGAGAGAAUUCUAGGCUGACAGAGUUGGAGAGCAGUGUCCCCUGUCUGUACAAAUUUGAGGUCAGG